This 333-nucleotide ribosomal RNA is filed under the name Triticum aestivum (bread wheat). RNAcentral describes it as "partial small subunit ribosomal RNA". Lineage: Eukaryota; Viridiplantae; Streptophyta; Magnoliopsida; Poales; Poaceae. The record is from RNAcentral.
AUGCAGACGGCGAAGGUGAGGGCCAAGGACAUGGUGAGCUCGGCCCAGGAGAAAGCGAAGGAGGGAUCGGCCGAGGUGCAGGGCAAGGCGGGCAAAGCCGCGGCGACCACGCACGGCGAGAAGGAGAUGGCCAAGGAGGAGGAGCGCGCGCACAAGGCCCAGGCCGACGCGCAGAAGCACCAGGAGAAGGCCGAGCACCGCGCCAAAGCGGCCGCGGGAUGCCACGGCACGGCUGGGACGCACGGCCACCACGGCCCCGUCGGCACCCCUGUGGCCCCUGACCCCGCGUACCCGGCCAGCGGCUGGCACCCGGCGGCGGAGAAGUACAUCUAG